Long non-coding RNA from Oreochromis niloticus (Nile tilapia), 1175 nucleotides. RefSeq lists it as uncharacterized. The transcript is spliced from 2 exons. The record is from RefSeq and is a predicted model, not a curated record. NCBI's taxonomy places the organism in Eukaryota, Metazoa, Chordata, Actinopteri, Cichliformes, Cichlidae.
AAGUCUUAAGCUCCAUGGAGACUCUUCUUUGCUGCCAGUUUGUCAUUGACCUCCAAGUUUUCAUGCUCUUGGUUUUUUUUGUUUUUUUCCUGCUUACCUUGUUUUCCCGUGCCACAGUUCACCUGGACCAUCCUCGCCACUUACCUUCAGCUUCAGCUUUUCUCAGACUACCUCUCCAUUCUGGAAAACUGCUGUUUUGGUCAUUCUUGACCAAAACGGCAAUAAACCACAGUGAAUCAGCAGCUCUGCAGUGUAUCGAGAUCCCCAGACCUCCUGGUCUCCACCCUCCUCCUCCAGUUCUGUGAAGGCGACAAUGACAGACGUAGCAUGUACUAUGUCUGUCCCAGGGUCUCUUUGAAACACCACACCUGAGAGGCAUCAAGAGGGUAUCCUGAAAAACAACCUCACAUGGCCUACCACUUUGUGCCUGAGUUGCUCUUACUCCCAAUUGCUUCCAUUUUUUCUAUAAUACCCCUAACAGUGGACAAAGGAAUAUAUAAUAGGGAAGAAAUUGGUGUCCUAUCAAAAUAGACUGAACUCCUGAGAGCGACCCAUUCUUUCAUGCUUGGUUUUAUACACCUGUGGCCAUGACAGUGAUUAGAACACCUGGUUUCAGUGAUUUGAUGAGUGACUGAAUACUUCCGGUAGUACGGUGUAUUUGUUACCUGUUAGGCAGAGAUAUCCAGAGGGAAGUCUGGUUCUCUUACACGUCAGAACAAGACAUAUUAAGGUGUGAUUCAAGAUGUAAAAUUUUGCCAUAAAACUAUGAAGCUAUUGUAGUAAAUUAACCAUAGGUAAGCAAAAUUUUAAAGGGUAAAUGAAAGAAAUAUUUGGAAAGAAACAAAGCAGAGAACAAAUGAAUGUUACAUGAAUUAACAUGAUCAAAAAUGAAGAAAAUAUGUAAAUAAAGUGUAAAUUUAAUUUCUAAAGACCUAAUGAAACUUAGACCUAAGCUAAGCAUAAAAUCAGUGCCAAAGAAAUAAAAUAUUAGAUACUGUGGUAUUAUAUUUUAUUUGCAAAUACCUCACACUUCACCAUUAUAUCACUUUAUAUAUCACAUGCACACUGAAGGUUUUGAGGUUGAUCUUCUAAUGGCAAACAGGCAAAAACCUAUGAGGUGUCAGAUGAUUCACUCUUAUUUGCUCCUACUUAAAAUGUCUAAGAUCUGACCAAAU